GUGACGGCGUGCCUAUUGAAUAAUGAGCCUACGAGUUACUAAUCACUGGCGAGGUUAAGUGCAUGAAUGCACGGAGCCGAAGCGAAAGCGAGUCUGAACAGGGCGGCUAGUCAGUGGUUGUAGACGCGAAACCUUGCGAUCUACCCUUGAGCAGGUUGAAGGUUGGGUAAAACCAACUGGAGGACCGAACGAAUAAGCGUUGAAAAGCUUCUCGAUGACUUGAGGGUAGGGGUGAAAGGCUAAUCAAGCUGGGAAAUAGCUCGUACUCCCCGAAAUGCCUUUAGGGGCAGCGUUGUAAUUGAGAGUCUACUGGAGGUAGAGCUACUGAUUGGAUGCGGGGGCUUCACCGCCUACCAAAUCCUGACAAACUCCGAAUGCCAGUAGUAUGAUUUACAGCAGUGAGCGACCGGGUGCUAAUGUCCGGUUACGAGAGUGGAACAACACAGACCAGCAACUAAGGUCCCGAAGAGUAUACUAAGUUGAUCUAACGAUGUUUUGCUGCAGAGACAGCUAGGAUGUUAGCUUGGAAGCAGCUAUUCAUUCAAAGAGUGCGUAACAGCUCACUAGUCGAGCGGCAAAGCGUGGAUAAUAAACGGGCAUCAAGUAUACCACCGAAGUUCUGGGCACGAGAGUGCGGUAGGGGAGCAUUCCAUUGACGUCGAAGCCCUUCCGUGAGGAUAGGUGGAGUUUAUGGAAAAGCAAAUGUAGGCAUGAGUAACGAUAAUGCGGGAGAGUAACCCGCACACCGCAAGACCAAGGUUUCCUGAUCAACGCUAAUCGGAUCAGGGUUAGUCGGGUCCUAAGGGUAAGCCGAACGGCGAUCUCGAUGGAUAAUCGGUUAAUAUUCCGAUACUAACAUAUACCUCGAUGGAGAGACGAAGGAACGUAAGUGCCGCCACCUGACGGAAUAGGUGGUUAAAGGGCGUAGAUAUAGGGGCAGAUUAAGAGUUAGUCCUUGCUGAAACCUGACAGUACAGAGAGCCUACGGGCAAUUUGAUAGAGCACCCAAGUCGACUUCCGAGAAAAUCUUCUAAGUUAUAGUAUAUGUUACCCGUACCGUAAACCGACACAGGUGGUCGAGGAGAGUAUCCUAAGGUGCUCGAGUGAAUCACGGUUAAGGAACUAGGCAAAUUAGCCCCGUAACUUCGGGAAAAGGGGUCCCUAUGAAAGUAGGGCGCAGCGAAGAGGUCCAGGCGACUGUUUAUCAAAAACACAGGGCUCUGCAAAUUCGAAAGAAGACGUAUAGGGCCUGACACCUGCCCGGUGCUGGAAGGUUAAGAGGAGAUGUCAUCGCAAGAGAAGCAUUGAAUCGAAGCCCCAGUAAACGGCGGCCGUAACUAUAACGGUCCUAAGGUAGCGAAAUUCCUUGUCGGGUAAGUUCCGACCUGCACGAAUGGUGUAACGAUCUGGACACUGUCUCAACCGUGAGCUCGGUGAAAUUGUAGUCCCGGUGAUGAUGCCGGGUACCCGCAACGGGACGAAAAGACCCCGUGAACCUUUACUAUAGCUUAACGCUGAAUUUGGGUACACAAUGUGUAGGAUAGGCAGGAGACUACGAAGCGGGCACGCCAGUGUUCGUGGAGUCGACGUUGAAAUACUGCCCUUUGUGUACUUGAGUUCUAACCCUCGAGAGGGGACACCGUUUGGUGGGUAGUUUGACUGGGGUGGUCGCCUCCAAAAGAGUAACGGAGGCUUCCCAAGGUACCCUCAGCACGAAUGGUAACCGUGCGUAGAGUGCAAUAGCAUAAGGGUGCUUGACUGUGAGACCAACAAGUCGAUCAGGUGCGAAAGCAGGGUAUAGUGAUCCGGUGGUUCUGCGUGGACUGGCCAUCGCUCAAAGGAUAAAAGGUACUCCGGGGAUAACAGGCUGAUCGCCGCCAAGAGCUCAUAUCGACGCGGCGGUUUGGCACCUCGAUGUCGGCUCGUCACAUCCUGGGGCUGGAGAAGGUCCCAAGGGUUCGGCUGUUCGCCGAUUAAAGUGGCACGCGAGCUGGGUUCAGAACGUCGUGAGACAGUUCGGUCCC
RNAcentral lists this ribosomal RNA (2024 nucleotides) under metagenome. Its description in RNAcentral is "bacterial LSU rRNA". It matches the Rfam family "Bacterial large subunit ribosomal RNA", at positions 593 to 2638 of the family's 2925-position model. The record is from RNAcentral.